GACGAACGCUGGCGGCGUGCCUAAUACAUGCAAGUUGAGCGCUGAAGGUUGGUACUUGUCCCAACUGGAUGAGCAGCGAACGGGUGAGUAACGCGUGGGGAAUCUGGCUUUGAGCGGGGGACAACAUUUGGAAACGAAUGCUAAUACCGCAUAAAAACUUUAAACACAAGUUUUAAGUUUGAAAGAUGCAAUUGCAUCACUCAAAGAUGAUCCCGCGUUGUAUUAGCUAGUUGGUGAGGUAAAGGCUCACCAAGGCGAUGAUACAUAGCCGACCUGAGAGGGGGAUCGGCCACAUUGGGACUGAGACACGGCCCAAACUCCUACGGGAGGCAGCAGUAGGGACUCUUCGGCAAUGGACGAAAGUCUGACCGAGCAACGCCGCGUGAGUGAAGAAGGUUUUCGGAUCGUAAAACUCUGUUGGUAGAGAAGAACGUUGGUGAGAGUGGAAAGCUCAUCAAGUGACGGUAACUACCCAGAAAGGGACGGCUAACUACGUG
This 497-nucleotide ribosomal RNA is filed under the name uncultured bacterium. Its description in RNAcentral is "partial 16S ribosomal RNA". It matches the Rfam family "Bacterial small subunit ribosomal RNA", at positions 28 to 507 of the family's 1533-position model. The record is from RNAcentral.